Molecule: long non-coding RNA, 428 nt
Filed under: Vigna radiata
Lineage: Eukaryota; Viridiplantae; Streptophyta; Magnoliopsida; Fabales; Fabaceae
Description: long non-coding RNA (VRAD_LNC016863)
Source: RNAcentral
GUGCGACAACGAUGACAGUAGAGGCACGAUGUCAACAACAGUGACAUAAAGGUGUAGUGAUUGUUGAAGUUAGAGGAGGUGGAAGAAAAAGAGGAGGAUGAUGAUGAGUUAUAGGUGAAGACGAUUGAUGUGUCAAUGAUGACAAUGAUGAUGGAGACGUGACAAGAAGGAGAUGAGGAUAUAGAAAAAGAAAACAAAGAAAACAAAGAGGAAAAGGAAGAUAAAAAGAAGACAAUAGGAAUUUUUAUCAAUGGAUUUUAUUAACAAUCAGAAUUAAUCAGUAAUUAUCGAUAAAUUUUUAUGGAUAUAUUUGUGGACAAUGGUAAUUAUCGAUGGAUUGCAAAAUUCGUCAAUAAAACUUAUUAACAACCACUUAAUGAUCAAAUUAAAUCACCGAUGAAGUUUUGUUAUCACACAAAUUUCUUGUG